AGUGAACGCUGGCGGUAGGCCUAACACAUGCAAGUCGAACGGCAGCACAGGAGAGCUUGCUCUCUGGGUGGCGAGUGGCGGACGGGUGAGGAAUACAUCGGAAUCUACUUUUUCGUGGGGGAUAACGUAGGGAAACUUACGCUAAUACCGCAUACGACCUACGGGUGAAAGCAGGGGACCUUCGGGCCUUGCGCGGUUGAAUGAGCCGAUGUCGGAUUAGCUAGUUGGCGGGGUAAAGGCCCGCCAAGGCGACGAUCCGUAGCUGGUCUGAGAGGAUGAGCAGCCACACUGGAACUGAGACACGGUCCAGACUCCUACGGGAGGCAGCAGUGGGGAAUAUUGGACAAUGGGCGCAAGCCUGAUCCAGCCAUACCGCGUGGGUGAAGAAGGCCUUCGGGUUGUAAAGCCCUUUUGUUGGGAAAGAAAUCCAGCUGGCUAAUACCCGGUUGGGAUGACGGUACCCAAAGAAUAAGCACCGGCUAACUUCGUGCCAGCCGCCGCCGUAA
RNAcentral lists this ribosomal RNA (506 nucleotides) under uncultured bacterium. Its description in RNAcentral is "partial 16S ribosomal RNA". It matches the Rfam family "Bacterial small subunit ribosomal RNA", at positions 29 to 523 of the family's 1533-position model. The record is from RNAcentral.